Molecule: long non-coding RNA, 409 nt
Filed under: Vigna radiata
Lineage: Eukaryota; Viridiplantae; Streptophyta; Magnoliopsida; Fabales; Fabaceae
Description: long non-coding RNA (VRAD_LNC013089)
Source: RNAcentral
AGGGUGUGUAGAAUCGUUCGAUUCUCUUCACUGUCGUGUUAGGACAGUGUUUUCGGUUUGUUAGUUGUUUGUUUUUCUGUUUUUCCAUUUUCCCCUUUGGAACUCUUUUUAUACGGAGUUCCUUUCCCUUUUCCCAUUAUCAGAAACAAUAAACGCUCAUGCUCAUUUUGAAUAUACUGCAAUCCAAUAAAAUGUUAAGUUUUUCUUACCUAUCUCAACACGAUCUUCAUCUUUCUCUUCUGCGUCGACGUCAACCGCCGUCGUAUCGGAGCUCUGCCGGCCACCGUCGCUCGCUUCUCUCUCUGUCGCUAGAGGAAGCUUCGGGUUGCCUCUCUCUCUCUCUCUUUACUCUCAUCUUCAAAUCUGCCACACACGCAUUCUUUUGCUUUCCAUAUACUUCGUUCGCGGG